UAGGGAAUAUUGGUAAUCUGGGAAACCGGGAACCAGCAACGCCGCGUGCGCGAUGAAGGCCUUCGGGUUGUAAAGCGCUUUUUGAGAGGAUGAGGAAGGACAGUACUCUUAGAAUAAGCCUCGGCUAACUACGUGCCAGCAGCCGCGGUAAAACGUAGGAGGCUAGCGUUAUCCGGAUUUAUUGGGCGUAAAGCGCGUGCAGGCGGUCUGACAAGUUGGAUGUGAAAGCUCCUGGCUUAACUGGGAGAGGUCGUUCAAAACUGUUAGACUAGAGAAUGGGAGAGGGAGGUGGAAUUCCGGGUGUAGUGGUGAAAUGCGUAGAUAUCCGGAGGAACACCAGUGGCGAAAGCGGCCUCCUAGACCAUUUCUGACGCUAAGACGCGAAAGCUAGGGUAGCAAACG
Molecule: ribosomal RNA, 402 nt
Filed under: uncultured prokaryote
Description: bacterial SSU rRNA
Rfam family: Bacterial small subunit ribosomal RNA
Source: RNAcentral